Molecule: long non-coding RNA, 771 nt
Organism: Xenopus tropicalis (tropical clawed frog)
Lineage: Eukaryota; Metazoa; Chordata; Amphibia; Anura; Pipidae
Exons: 3
Source: RefSeq, a predicted model, not a curated record
ACAGAUUCUACUCCAGGCCUGACCUGAUUGUGAAGGAACAGCCUAAUGGUGGAACAACAGUAUCUGCAGGUGGUUCCAGAGUAUCUGUAUAUCAGCCCUUAAGAGCAGAGUCAUUCAAGUGUCACUGAGUGAGCCACAGACUAAUGGAAGGGGCAUAAAUAUGACUGGAACAGUGGGAGGAGCCACCAUAUAUCAGGUCUGGACUGAGAUUUAAAAGAGACCCUGGCAUUUCAAGUCCAAACAGCCCCCUGUGGCAUUAGCCAGAAUCUACAGAUUGCCACUCCUUGCCUGCCCCAGAUACACACGAGAAGCCUCACCGGUACAAAAUGGAUAUUAGAUUCCCAACAUCAACAAGUUGUGAAGGAACAGCCUAAUGGUGGAACAACAGUACCUGCAGAAAUGUUGAAGAUUAUGUCGCCAUCUGUGUCAGACAAGAAAUGUCUAGUACCGAGACGUGAGAUGGAGCGACUGUGGUCAAAGGGAAUCUCAUCGAGUUCUCCCCUGCGUUCUCCUAGGAACCCGGGACAAGAAGGAGCGGCUCUCAUAUAUUUCAACAUUUUCAGAAUUCAUUUUCUAUUAGAUCAACCUGGGAUAUAAUUAAAGGGGAACUACUGUGAAAAUUGAAAUGUAAUAUAAGCUUUAUCUCAUGGAAAUAAGAAACUUUCUACAUAUAAUAAAUAUGGUACUUCUUCUGAAAUUACCAAGUUACUCUUAACUAUCCCAACGACUCCUGCAUGGAGAGAGCCCGAUUGCUAAGAGGGGGAUAGAAAA